CUUCGAGUCAUUAAAACUUAAAGCUCCAGCUCUAAAAUUAUAGAAGUUUACGAUGUAUGUUUUGAUCACACCUUCUGUUUCCCAUUUCUAUAAGUAUUAAUCUUUGAGGUUUAAGUUGCAAUGUGUUUUUUUUUUUUUUUUUAGAUGAUGGAGAGGAAGGCCAUGCAUCUCACAAUAAACUUGUGUAUACAAGUGUGAAUUUUGUGGUUGAGACAAUGUAUAAUUAUAACUAUGCUUUAGAGGUGUUAUGGAUAUUUUUAUCAGCAGGUGCAUGCUUUACUAAUAGAUCCUAAGAAUUCUUCUAUUUGUACUUUUGACACUCUGUAUUAAGUGUGAUAAACGUCAUGCACUCUGUCUGUAUAUGAAUAUAGGAGACUACCAAAUAAGGAGAGAUGCAAACUUUAUGCAAGGCUAUAAAAAGCCAAGGAGCGCUUUGUGCGGGGCCGCACUCCGAUGGUGAAGACUUACUCGCUGUUAUUUUCAUUUUUUAUUACUUAUGAGUUAUUGUCUACUAAUAAAGCGAAGCCAUUACAAAUGGUGAUGCGUUAAAUGUUUAUUAAAAUAAAAGACUCUAAGUAAUUUAUUUACGAGCAACAUAUUAUUCUGGAACUGAAUAUUCCUUUCGAGCCUCAAGAAGUCUGAACUCAGCUGAGCAGAUUUGGGUGCGAUCUCAGAGAUUCCUGCAUCUAUACAUCACCAUCAGAAGACAAAAUUCAUACAAGCACAAGACUCACUGCAGAGGAACCAGUGUCCAACGAGGAGCAUCUCAGCUGAGCACAAAACGAAAAAGAAAAACCAUCAAGAUCAUUUAAAGCACUUACAGUAGAACAAGAAGAAAUGAACAUACAAAUACCAACACCAGCAGUAGCAGUGACUGGGGUCUCCGUUCAGCCUGCUGUAUCGGUGGUUCAGCCCGCUGUAACGUAUGUUCAGCCCGCUGUACCAUUGAUUCAGCCCACUGUAACAGUUGUUCAGCCCGCUGCACCAUUGGUUCAGCCUGUUGUGGUCAUGAGUCAAAGGCCAGUUGCUGCGGUGCCAGAUUACUUGGGCUACUCCAUCUUUACCAUGCUGUGCUGCUGUUUACCUCUGGGCAUCGUUGCUAUCAUCUACUCAUGCAACACUCGAGAUGCUAACUUGACUGGACAGCGAGAGUUAGCGAUGGGCCACUCCAGAGUGGCAUUUAUCCUGAACAAUGUGGCUCUCGGUAUCGGCCUCGCAAUCAUAACAGUGGUCAUUAUCCUUUCCAUUAAAUUAGGUCAUUGAACAACAUCGUUGAACAGAUGUUUUAUUCUGCUUCAAAUGCAUCUACUCAUACUGUCAAUGAUACUGUCAACUCAAAUCAAUGAUUUUUGGAAGAAAUAACAUGUAUUUUCCAGACCCUCUGAAGGGAAUGAUCUAAUGUAUGCUUAUGUUUUAUUUCUUUUUUUUUUAAUGCUGGCAGACUGAUCUGUUUGAUUAGCAGAAAUUAAAUGCUUUACUGCUUUUAACUUAAAGCUGAUUUAAAAUGUUAAUUAAUAAAUAUAUAUAUAUAUAUAUAUAUAUAUAAAUU
Cyprinus carpio (common carp) is the source of this 1549-nucleotide long non-coding RNA. The record is from Ensembl. Lineage: Eukaryota; Metazoa; Chordata; Actinopteri; Cypriniformes; Cyprinidae.